Long non-coding RNA from Hemiscyllium ocellatum (epaulette shark), 224 nucleotides. RefSeq lists it as uncharacterized. Lineage: Eukaryota; Metazoa; Chordata; Chondrichthyes; Orectolobiformes; Hemiscylliidae. The record is from RefSeq and is a predicted model, not a curated record. The transcript is spliced from 2 exons.
CGUCAUCGCGUUGUGAUGUCAGACGUCGCCGGCGGUAACGGAUUAUGGAGCGAUUGAAGAUGGGCCGGCAACCAGAACUCCAGAUGAGGACUCACCAUCGUCCUGGACAACCUCAACAUGACAUCCCAACUCCUAUUAUCUGAGGACUGAGCAAUGAAAGCAAGCAUGCUAAAAGCCUUCUCAACCAUCCUGUCUACCUUUGAUGUAAAUUUCAAAGAAUUAUG